Molecule: long non-coding RNA, 5179 nt
Organism: Oreochromis aureus
Lineage: Eukaryota; Metazoa; Chordata; Actinopteri; Cichliformes; Cichlidae
Source: Ensembl
CCCUCAUGCUGUACAGCAGCGGUCCCCGACCUUUUUUGAGCCACAGACCGGUUUAUGUCAGACACGGACCGGCCUUUAAGGUAUCGCGGAUAAAUACAACCACAUAAAAUGAUCCAACCAAGACAAAAACUGUGGUAUUUUGUAAAUAUAAUAAUAAACGUGAAUGUACUGUGUAAUUGUGUAACUUUAUUAGCAGCGUCCUCCUGAAAAUGCGCCAAUAUUGACAGUAACAUCCUCCUCUCUGCCGCUUAAUGCUUUCUGGUCGCUAUGGUAACGUGUAAAUAUUUCUUUCAAAAUAAGACACACCACUACAACAAGGGAAAGACUCAGGGAAACCGAGUUAAUGAUAAAACCCCUGAAAACCAUAAAUUUCACACCGGAGCCUUAACUCUGUGGCCCGGUACCAAACGACUCACGGACCGCUGCUGUACAGAACCUGUGAUGUCCAGACGGUGUUCCUCUGGUGUUCUGCUGUGAAAACUUUUGGGCUUAGGGAUUAACAUAGUUGCCAUGGUGUCCUUUCUUCUCUUAUUUGUUGUGUGUGAUCAGGACAAUUCUGGAGAAGAUGGGCCUGCAGGGGAAAGUCACCCCCUUGCAGGCCAGAAGACACGAGAUAACUUUAAAGAAUACAAAGAUUGCAAGUAUCCAGGCUCAGGAGAGGGGGUCAGUGGGAAGCCCACUGCUGCUACUUGGCCCUGGUUUGCCCUCAUGGAUGAGGUGAUAGGAUAGAUGCCUUCCAUUAAGCCUCCUGUCCUAAUUUCCUCUCUCUCCAGGGCCAAGCGCAGCAGUGGGUGACCAAAACGACAGCGAUGACGAAGCGACUCAGCCACCUACGACAGGGAGAAAGAGGAAAAGAGACGGGGAUGAUGAGCUGCUAGACCUCAUCAGAGAGGACAUGAGGCAGCAAAGAGAGGCUGAGGAGAGGAGAGCAGGGAGAGGAUGGACAGACUGUUUUCACUUCUAGAAAGAUUAGUUCCCAAAUGAGUUAUGUAUUGAGAAAUUUAUUUAUUUGAAUAUAUUUGUUACAUUGUUAUAUGUGUUGCAUUAGUUUAAAGGUUUUAUGUUAUUAAUAAAUUGAUUCAAACAAACAGUAAUUGUCACUGAACUCAAUUUGAUUUACAGGCAUUUGUAACACGUAUGAACAUAACGCUAACUUUGAACAAUAUUACUUGGAUAUUUAUUUGAUAGCAAUAAAGUAAAUAACAAUAACAAUUAAACAAGAAUAUUUCAAAUACACAGUAUGUAAAGAUAAAAAACAAUAUUUUCAGUUGUUCACACAGGAUCAACCUGAGUGACCUGUUCCUGGACCGUUUCUUUAACAACUGUAAUAGAUUACAGGAAGUCUCUGGCAGUGUUUUUUUUUUUUUUUUUUUUUUUUUUUUCAGCAGUGUUGCUGAAUCUGCCCGAGCAAGAUCAGACGUGGAUGAGCUGCUGCAACUGAGACCUGCGGUUUGUCUUUUCUGGUGGGCAAGUGGAGAAUCACACAGGGUGGUCUGCAAAGAGAGCUUUAGGAUGCUUCCUCCCACUGUCCACUGCAUCGUCCAUCCACAGGGUUUGCAGGGCUCACUCGUGGCUGCCACACCACUAAGAUGUUUACAGAAAUAUGCAAGCAGGAGAUGGUGGAUGCUAUAUUAUUAGUAUAAUACUUGUAACUCUGUAGCAGACAACAGUUUGAUAAAGUGCUAUGUAAAAAAACAAACAAACAAAAGAUUAGAUUCUAUACGUUUCAAAGAUAUUUAGUUUAUAUAUUUUAUAUGAUACAGUACAUGUGUGAGAAUGACCGAUGUUGUGCCAAAAAAAUGAUCGUCUGCCAAAAAACGAUUUCCGGUUUUUGCCCUAAACUGAUUGCUCGUAUUUAACCUGCUAUGAAUAACUUGUUGGUCUAUAAUAUGUGAAACAUGUCAAAUGUGUCCCUCAUUGGUGAUAUCAAGUCACUUUGAGCCACCAGCAACAUUCCUGUAACAAGGUAGAAGCUGCAAUCAGUUUUUGGCAGUGACUUUUAUAUAUCCUUUAUUCAUCCAGUUAAAAAAAAAAAAAUCUUAUUGACAUUAGAAAUUUAUUUUUUAAGAGUAAUCUGGCCAAGAGGACAGCAGACAGCGCAACAAAUAUAUCGAUUGUACCUACAUUAUAACCAGAGUUAUAAAGAUACUUUAACAACAGGUAAUUAUUGUAUAUAUAAAACCCCUUUGUAAACCAUGUUCACCGAAGUCUAUUUACCAACAUACAUAAAGAUAUUACACAUAUUACACUCGGAAACAUUGGAAAUCAGUUUUGGCAGGCGAACACUUUUUUGGCACAACGCUGGCAAUAUUUCAAUUAUCCGUGUAAUUAGCUAAGUAAUUCCUAAAUGCGUGUAGAUUAAAGGAAAUUAUUUUACCUGGACAUGUUUGUCUCUGAUGAGCCUAAGGUACAAAACGUGCGGGCGACGACGAUAAGGUUUUUCUAGCUCCUCAAAAAUUAAAAUUGUCCAAACAACAGAGCGACAUUUCUGGGUCCAUUUUAAAGUUUUCGCGCUGUGGCGCUAGCGUCCGGAAAAACACGCAAGUAAGGGCGGAGUUGCAGGCUAGGAGGCUGUCCACAGCCCAUCUGUUAUGUUGGAUACUCAUUGUUUGUUCAAUAAAGUUUCUAUGGAGAAAAAAAGGGGGCUGUCCAAGCCGCUCACUUCCUGACUACCCGUCCGUCUAAGGACACUACCUUGUGACGUAGGUAGGUAGUGUCCUUAUGAGCAUCCUUCCCCUGAAUUCGGACACAGCCAUUGUCACAUCUUAUAUCUCGUAUAAAAAUAUAUCGAUAUUUUUUUUAAAAAACUCGAUAUAUCGCCCAGCUCUAGGACUAAUAAAGGUAUAUCAAUCAAUCAAUCAACUAGGGAAGCAGAUGCCAUUUCGGUUGCCAAAGCAAUAUGUAAGAAUAUCAUCUCGGAACACGGGAUUCCAGAGACUAUUUAUAGUGAUGAUGGUCCACACUUUGUAAAUGAAGUGAUUGGAUUAAUGCCACAGCAUCUAGGGAUAACACUAAAACAUCAUUGUUCAUAUCACCCACAAAGAGAACUAACGGCACAGUAAAGCUAAGACUUAGGAAGUCAAUGGAAGAGACAGGCAGGACAUGGUUAGACUGUAUAGAACUAGUUAAGAUGUACAUGAGGAUUACUCCAACAGAGAACGGUCUGACUCUUUGAGAUUAUAUAUGGUAGAGUAUUUAGAGUUUUAGUCUUCUGUAGUGAUGAUAGAAACGCAGAAGAGAGAGCACAUUAGCAGAUUGGAUGCUCAAAAUGUUUAAAAGUAAAGAAGUCAUGAGAACAAAUGAUCUGCCAGAUGAUUCUGUUUCUCCUCAGGAGCAGAGUCUGAAGUCUGGAGAUUGGAUGUUGAUAAGGCCAUGGAGAGGAAGUGCUCCGUUCUUACUGCAGGUUUUCAUAGAAAGUAUAGAGAAUAACACCCUCCCUCCUACUCUUACUCAGGGUCUCAUAACACUUAUUCCAAAGCCAAACAAAGACUUACUUCUUAUUGAUAAUUGGAGACCCAUCUGUCUGCUCAAUAAUGACUAUGAGAUUAUGGCUUUAGUACUUGCUAACAGAAUUAAAGCAGGGCUAUAGAGUGUGACCAAAUUUUUCAGUUGUGCGACUAAAAAAAAUAUUUGGUCGCAUCUGUGCAACCAACUGUUCCGGUAACAAAAAAACAAAAAAAAUCUCUGCAACUCUCCGUGUGGUCAACAACAGACACACAUUAUGCCCUAUCGUGGACUAAACCAAUCAGAGAUAGUAAGGGGCGGGACCUCUCUGAUUGGCCGUGGUCCAGUUGAAAGUGCAGGUGGAAGAGGGAGGUGAGUAGCUUGAAUAAAGCGAUAUCGAUUCAUUAAAUCCUGAAUUGACUUUUAAAUAUAACUGUGUUUUGCCAGAAACGGCAGAUUCUCAGAUUAAAGCUCACAAAACUAUUUCAACAACCACCAAACAGCAAAUGAGAGCAGGUACACGGAUUCCACACAAAGACGUAAACACAGAGCGGACCCGACGCAUCAGAAUCAGCUUUGUCUUUCUCGGCUUUCUCACCCGACGGCCCAAACACGGACACGCUGUCGGAGCUCAGCGAUUCUGAUGCGUCGGGUCCACGCUGUGUUUAUGUCUUUUUGCGCUGAUUCUGAGCUGCAGGUUUUGUCUCUCUCCAACCAAAAUUCACUGAGCCAGCAGCAAAAGAAGCAGCAAACUGAGCUUCACGUUUGAUCAAUGUUGUCAUGCGUUUUGCAGUUUUGCUUCCACGACUAUUAAAAUCACACUUCAUGCACAGCUCUCUCUCUCUCUCUCUGUACUUCAAGAACAGUUUCCUGUCUCAAAUCUCUGUUUUCUGCAUUAUUCAUCCGCUUAUUAACCACCAGCCUACCAUUGUUUACAGCGCUGUCGGCCGCUGUCUUUUUCUUUUCUUCACGUAAACGACCUCGGACAAGAAAGCCUAUUUUUUCUGCUGUUCAAUACUGAAGAAAUUUAAACUUUAUAUACUUUAUAUGCAGAACAUUGCAGAAUAUUUUUAAGGUUAUCUGCUAUAAAAAGUCAGGCCAGAAAAAUCUCCUUCAUGUUUUUCUGUGUUUUAUUCUCAGUUACUUUCACACAAAGGCAUCUGCUGUGAUGUUCACAAUUCUGAUGAAAUCUCACAUGUAUCAGUACUGUGAGAUUUCAUCAGAAUUAUAAUAUUUCUGACUGUCUGAGGAAAACUGAAUCGAAUCAGGACUUUGAGAACCGGAAUCGAAUGGAUUAUAGAAAUCAGUGAUGAUACCCAGCCCUAGUGAGCAGCCUAGGCCUGACAGAAGUGGAUGUAGCUGUGGGUAAUAAGAAAAGAUGAAAAGAACUAGAAAGCGAAAAUUUCAGAAGAAAUUUUAUGUGUGCCUAUGCCGCUGCUAAUCACUGUAGUUUGCCAUUCAUACGGCUACAGAGAGCAAAACUCAGCAGAGCAGCCAUUCUCCACCAUGAAUUAUGAUAAAACAAACACACUUUCGCGCCGCCACAGAUGACAGCUUACAGUUUUGGGUAAAGAUGAAGUGACUUUGUACAGCCCCGAUUUGCAGACGCUGUGCACACAGGUUCAUGAGCAGAAGUCCCAUUGUACCACGGCAGACCCAACAAUGUUUGCAUGAACACGCUUUGAAGCAUUAUGUUAUGGACCACUUUUCACACAUGGUUGGUGUACCCACACAG